GUAUGGACAGGAUACUUCAUCAUAAUUUGUGGCUGUUUUAGUUGUUUGUUUGUUUAGAUCACCACUUUCUACGCCCCUAUUUGUGAUCACUUAUACAUCAAGCAUUAAUAAAUGUUCUUUUUGGAUUUCAUGGAGAAUCGAGGGGGUACAUCACACAAUGUUCCAUAACCCCUGCAAUUGCUCCAGCAGUCAUGUGUGUUGAAACAUCGGUGGUAGGAAGUGUUUCAUAGUCUUCAAAGUUCAUAAUAGUCUGUUAAUAAAAAACACUUCACUUAAAACAAUAA
Homalodisca vitripennis (glassy-winged sharpshooter) is the source of this 284-nucleotide long non-coding RNA. RefSeq lists it as uncharacterized. NCBI's taxonomy places the organism in Eukaryota, Metazoa, Arthropoda, Insecta, Hemiptera, Cicadellidae. The transcript is spliced from 2 exons. The record is from RefSeq and is a predicted model, not a curated record.